CGAAAGCCUGACGGAGCAAUACCGCGUGAGGGAAGAAGGCUUUUGGGUUGUAAACCUCUUUUGUCAGGGAAGAAGAAUUGACGGUACCUGAAGAAAAAGCAUCGGCUAACUCCGUGCCAGCAGCCGCGGUAAUACGGAGGAUGCAAGCGUUAUCCGGAAUCAUUGGGCGUAAAGGGUCCGCAGGUGGCGAAUAAAGUCUGCUGUUAAAGACCGGGGCUUAACUCCGGAAAGGCAGUGGAAACUGAUUAGCUAGAGUAAGGUAGGGGUAGAGGGAAUUCCCAGUGUAGCGGUGAAAUGCGUAGAUAUUGGGAAGAACACCGGUGGCGAAAGCGCUCUACUAGGCCGAAACUGACACUGAGGGACGAAAGCUAGGGUAGCGAAAGGGAUUAGAUACCCCUGUAGUCUUAGCGGUAAACGAUGGAUACUAGGAGUAGCUUGUAUCGACCCGAGCUGUGCCGAAGCUAACGCGAUAAGUAUCCCGCCUGGGGAGUACGCACGCAAGUGUGAAACUCAAAGGAAUUGACGGGGGCCCGCACAAGCGGUGGAGUAUGUGGUUUAAUUCGAUGCAACGCGAAGAACCUUACCAGGGCUUGACAUGUCGCGAAUCUAGCGGAAACGUUAGAGUGCCUUAGGGAAUGCGAACACAGGUGGUGCAUGGCUGUCGUCAGCUCGUGUCGUGAGAUGUUGGGUUAAGUCCCGCAACGAGCGCAACCCUCGUCCUUAGUUGCCAAUAUUAAGUUAGGCACUCUAGGGAGACUGCCGGGGACAACUCGGAGGAAGGUGGGGAUGACGUCAAGUCAGCAUGCCCCUUACGUCCUGGGCUACACACGUACUACAAUGGUUGGGACAAAGGGCAGCAAGCUCGCGAGAGUAAGCGAAUCUCAUCAAACCCAGCCACAGUUCAGAUUGCAGGCUGCAACUCGCCUGCAUGAAGUAGGAAUCGCUAGUAAUCGCAGGUCAGCAUACUGCGGUGAAUUCGUUCCCGGGCCUUGUACACACCGCCCGUUACACCAUGGAAGCUGGCUACGCCCGAAGUCGUCACCCUAACCCGGUUUUGGGAGGGGGAUGCCGAAGGUAGAGCUAGUGACUGGGGUGAAGUCGUAACAAGGUAGCCGUACCGGAAGGUGUGGCUGGAUCACCUCCUUU
RNAcentral lists this ribosomal RNA (1146 nucleotides) under uncultured cyanobacterium. RNAcentral's name for it is "bacterial SSU rRNA". It matches the Rfam family "Bacterial small subunit ribosomal RNA", at positions 376 to 1533 of the family's 1533-position model. Lineage: Bacteria; Bacillati; Cyanobacteriota. The record is from RNAcentral.